AAGAAAAAGAGGAAAAUAAGACAGUAGAGAGAGAAAGUAAACAUAAACGUAACAUAGGAAAUGGCGAAGAAGAAAGACACGAGAAGGGGAAGAUUAAGCUCCUACUGAACACAACUUUUCUCAUUCGACUCCUCUAUCUAGAUCUAUAUAUACUAAAAAUGUAACUCAGUCUCUGCAUAUAUGUGCGCAUAUAUAUGCAAAAAAAAUUGGUAAUGGAGCUGCUUCUGCUGGUGCUGGGUUCUGGUGUUCACACUGUUAGCUGGUAAAAGGCUUUAUCCUUUGAAGUUCUGUUUACUCGAUGAUGUUUAUUGAAUUUCUAAGAAAUUUUGUAUACACGUUAAAAUUUAUUGAUAUACGGUUUAUCUCAUGCAUGUAAUCUGAUUUUCAUCGUGCUUCGUUAAUUUUCGAUUUUUUGAUCAUCUUUAUUAAUUUUUCUAUACAGGAAAGAUUCUGCUAUGUGAAUGCCGUUUGAGUUUAUUGGUAUACGAAUGCAUAAAAGGUGACUUUUUGGAUUUUUUUUCCCAUUUUCUGUUCUCAGUUUCAUUAUUUUUAUUUAUUUAUUCAUUCUUUUGGGUUGGGUUGAUUCGUCUUUUCUGCCGAAUUAAUUAUUUUCCUUGAUGUUUAAUUACUUAUAUUUGCACUUUUUUAAAUUUUUAUGGAUUUUCCAUUAUAAG
Molecule: long non-coding RNA, 674 nt
Filed under: Olea europaea (common olive)
Lineage: Eukaryota; Viridiplantae; Streptophyta; Magnoliopsida; Lamiales; Oleaceae
Description: long non-coding RNA (OEUR_LNC013154)
Source: RNAcentral